Molecule: long non-coding RNA, 1575 nt
Organism: Monodelphis domestica (gray short-tailed opossum)
Lineage: Eukaryota; Metazoa; Chordata; Mammalia; Didelphimorphia; Didelphidae
Source: Ensembl
AUGCCAGGGCUCAGGGCUCUAGGAUCACUGCUGGAUCUAGCACCUGAAUGGUGGUAUAUGGCGUCAAUCAGGAAGGCAGGCUGCUGGAACACCUUCCCUUCGUGCACAGGCAGCAAAGAUCCCCUUGAACAAAAUGAGGUAAUAUUUGUGGCCUUCAAAACACUAAGCCAGCUUUCUUGCUUUCUCCCAUUUUCUCUCCCUUUCCUUCUUCCCUCUUUUCCUAGUCCUACCUUCCUUUUUCUUCCCUCUUUUCCUUGUUUCUUUCUUUCUCCUUUCCUUCUUCCCUCUUUUCCUAGUCCUACCUUCCUUUUUCUUCCCUCUUUUCCUUGUUUCUUUCUUUCUCCUUUCCUUCUUCCCUCUUUUCCUAGUCCUACCUUCCUUUUUCUUCCCUCUUUUCCUUGUUUCUUUCUUUCUCCUUUCCUUCUUCCCUCUUUUCCUAGUCCUUCCUUCCUUUUUUCUCCCCUCUUUUCCUUGCUUCUUUCUUUCUCCUUUCCUUCUUUCCUCUUUUCCUAGUCCUUCCUUCCUUUUAAACCUUUACUUUCUCUGUCUUGGAAUCAAUACAGAAAAGUGGAAGGGGUCAGGGAUUGAGGGUUAAGUGACUUGCCAAAGCAGAGGAGAAGAUAAGGGCUGAAAAUAGGGGUUUUAAGGGAUUUGCCUUGAGCCCUACUGCUAGAAAGUGUCUGAGGUCACAUAGGAACCCAGGACUUCCGGUCUCCAGGCCUGGUUCUCAAUCCCCUUUCCCUUUUCACAAACAUCUCUAAAUAAGUUCCGGUCCCUCGCCCGGAGGCUACGGAGACAAAAGUGUGCCUGCCCGCAGGGCGCUUCCAUUCACAAAGUCAAUCGGAGUUAGUCUGGGCCAGAGGAGGAGGGGGAAGAGGAGGAGCGUCGGGGCACCCGUCUAUCUGUCCGUCUGCGUCUGCUAGAAAGCUGCACCUGACCCGCUCGCUGCUCAGGCCAGUUCGGAGCCCUGACCUCGGCCUUCGUUAGGGCCCAUCCAAGGGCUCACGAACCCCUCGGUCUUUGCCUUGGCCUCGCCCCCUCCUCCCCCGCGGGUGCCGGGUCCUUAGGAAGCUCGGGGUAAAUUCUCCCGGUUCAGCUCGGUGUCGCCGCGACCCUGCCCCCCACCCCCAUUCCCAUCGGGGCUGGAGGAGAGGCCCCGGAGGAUGGGAAGGGGGCCGGGGCUGGAAGAAAGGCCCCGCGGCGGGUAGGCUGGCAAGUGGGGAGGGGUAAGGGGGAGGGGGAGGCAGGAGCAAGCAGACUGGCGGGCGGGCAGGCGGGAGGGCACCGCUCUGGGCGCAGGACUUUCUCCGGAAGAAUGAAAACAAUCAGUGCAUUUUCCCCUAAUAAUAGAAAAACCUACAAAGCCCUCCCAGAGGGGGAUGGAAAAAAUGUCUGCUUAUUAUCACCCGAGAGGAGCCCCUGCCCCCUCCCCGCCCCAAAAUGUAAUCAGGAAAAACUUCUAACUUUUUCCUGCCCCCCCCCCUUUUUUUUUGCUAUUUAUCAGCAGAUUGUGCCGGGCUGAGUGGUGUGCGCCUCACCCUGCUAAAUAAAGCUUUGGUAUUUCUGAUAAAGCCA